Molecule: ribosomal RNA, 497 nt
Filed under: uncultured bacterium
Lineage: Bacteria
Description: partial 16S ribosomal RNA
Rfam family: Bacterial small subunit ribosomal RNA
Source: RNAcentral
GAUGAACGCUGGCGGCGUGCCUAAUACAUGCAAGUCGAGCGAACAGACGAGGAGCUUGCUCCUCUGACGUUAGCGGCGGACGGGUGAGUAACACGUGGAUAACCUACCUAUAAGACUGGGAUAACUUCGGGAAACCGGAGCUAAUACCGGAUAAUAUAUUGAACCGCAUGGUUCAAUAGUGAAAGACGGUUUUGCUGUCACUUAUAGAUGGAUCCGCGCCGCAUUAGCUAGUUGGUAAGGUAACGGCUUACCAAGGCGACGAUGCGUAGCCGACCUGAGAGGGUGAUCGGCCACACUGGAACUGAGACACGGUCCAGACUCCUACGGGAGGCAGCAGUAGGGAAUCUUCCGCAAUGGGCGAAAGCCUGACGGGGCAACGCCGCGUGAGUGAUGAAGGUCUUCGGAUCGUAAAACUCUGUUAUUAGGGAAGAACAAAUGUGUAAGUAGCUAUGCACGCCUUGACGGUACCUAAUCAGAAAGCCACGGCUAACUACGUG